This 505-nucleotide ribosomal RNA is filed under the name uncultured bacterium. RNAcentral describes it as "bacterial SSU rRNA". It matches the Rfam family "Bacterial small subunit ribosomal RNA", at positions 18 to 518 of the family's 1533-position model. The record is from RNAcentral.
CCUGGCUUAGGAUGAACGCUAGCGACAGGCCUAACACAUGCAAGUCAGGGGCAGCACAAGGAGCAAUCUGAGGUGGCGACCGGCGCACGGGUGAGUAACACGUAUGCAACCUGCCUGUAAGCGGGGAAUAACCCGUUGAAAGACGGACUAAUACCGCAUAAUACUAAAUUACUGCAUGGUAAUUUAUUUAAACAUUUAUGGCUUACAGAUGGGCAUGCGCAUGAUUAGCUAGUUGGAGAGGUAACGGCUCCCCAAGGCAACGAUCAUUAGGGGUUCUGAGAGGAAGGUCCCCCCACACUGGUACUGAGACACGGACCAGACUCCUACGGGAGGCAGCAGUGAGGAAUAUUGGUCAAUGGACGAGAGUCUGAACCAGCCAAGUCGCGUGCAGGAAGAAUGUCCUAUGGAUUGUAAACUGCUUUUGCAGGGGAAUAAAGUGCAUCACGUGUGAUGUUUUGUAUGUACUCUGCGAAUAAGGAUCGGCUAACUCCGUGCCAGCCGCCGC